UAGUCACACUGCACUGCAUAGGCACUCAGGAUGGCUCUCGCAAGCCAACUCAAGUGUCCUUACCUCCAGUGCUCCACUGGUAAUUAUAACUGGCAGCCCAGGGUCAGCCUCCUGUGCCACCACACCCUGCUCCUGGAAGAGAAAGCUGCUAAGGAAGAGACAGCAUCAACAGGAAACUUCUAACCAGAUGCAGCUUUGAGUUUCACCAGUUACUGAGCAACAAGCUUAAGGCUGUAGUGAAGCUGUCACUGCA
Molecule: long non-coding RNA, 253 nt
Organism: Meleagris gallopavo (turkey)
Lineage: Eukaryota; Metazoa; Chordata; Aves; Galliformes; Phasianidae
Source: RefSeq, a predicted model, not a curated record